Molecule: long non-coding RNA, 474 nt
Organism: Oreochromis aureus
Lineage: Eukaryota; Metazoa; Chordata; Actinopteri; Cichliformes; Cichlidae
Source: Ensembl
UGUGUCUUCUCCAAGCUUCACAUGUAAAAUCCAACAGUGUGAAGCACAUAGCAGCCAGAAACUGUAAUGCCACAGAUCAGAGAGGCUUCAUCAUCACCAUCUUCAUCGCCGUACGAUCAGAGCGUGAGACUUCACAUCUGGAGCACAGGAGAGAUUCUGUGAUAAGUCCUCCUUCUAGCUUGUCCCACUAGCAGUCGAGCUGAGACACUCAGGACUGAACAGACUGCACAGCUUCUGUGACUGAGCCUACAAAACACCUUCUUUGAAACCACACAUGAUAGAAGGGCUUUACGUUUGCAGCAGCACUACUAAAGUCGGCAGGAAUGUUGCUGCAGGAAAACAUCCCUGCAGAUCACCAUCAUUUCACUGGACAUGAUGAGGAUCAUAUGGGACUUUAUAGUUUCACAGAAAUGUUGUGCUCUUUGAUUACAGGUUUUAAAUGGACAUAAUGACUGCCUCUCUCUGAUCAACAGG